AUGCAGGUGCCUCCAAGAAGAAAGCCAUGGAUCCGCUUCUUUCUUUGCUCAGGGACAUCUAUUGGGUUUGGUCUUUGGUGUGAGUGUAGCGGCCGGAGCUGGCGCCGGCGCCAUGCCCGAGCUAGACCGCAACGCGGCAUCCGCUGUUGUCGGCGACGACGACGACGAGAGCGCGGGGGAGGCAGCGAAGACGAGGCGGUCGACGCAGAGGCUCUCCGAGAGGUGACAGACGCGGCAAGAUCCUCAAUAACGCCAGCUCAAGCUCGUCCACGACCUGCGGCGAGCCGGACGCGACCACGUCCACGGCGGCGAGCCGGGCGCGGCCACGAUCACGGCAGCGAGUCGGGCGCGUCCACGGUCGUCGGAAGCCGGUGGUGGGCAUGA
RNAcentral lists this ribosomal RNA (384 nucleotides) under Triticum aestivum (bread wheat). Its description in RNAcentral is "partial small subunit ribosomal RNA". Lineage: Eukaryota; Viridiplantae; Streptophyta; Magnoliopsida; Poales; Poaceae. The record is from RNAcentral.